Molecule: ribosomal RNA, 453 nt
Filed under: uncultured soil bacterium
Lineage: Bacteria
Description: bacterial SSU rRNA
Rfam family: Bacterial small subunit ribosomal RNA
Source: RNAcentral
AGAGCGAACGCUGGCGGCAGGCCUAACACAUGCAAGUCGAACGGACCCUUCGGGGUUAGUGGCGGACGGGUGAGUAACACGUGGGAACGUGCCUUUAGGUUCGGAAUAGCUCCUGGAAACGGGUGGUAAUGCCGAAUGUGCCCUUCGGGGGAAAGAUUUAUCGCCUUUAGAGCGGCCCGCGUCUGAUUAGCUUGUUGGUGAGGUAAUGGCUCACCAAGGCUACGAUCAGUAGCUGGUCUGAGAGGAUGACCAGCCACAUUGGGACUGAGACACGGCCCAAACUCCUACGGGAGGCAGCAGUGGGGAAUCUUGCGCAAUGGGCGAAAGCCUGACGCAGCCAUGCCGCGUGUAUGAUGAAGGUCUUAGGAUUAGUAAAAUGCUUUACACCGGCGAAGAUAAUGACUGUAGCGGAGAAGAACGCCCCGGACUAACUUCGUAGCCAGCACGCCCGAC